UACAGAGGUCUCAAGCGUUGUUCGGAAUCACUGGGCGUAAAGGGUGCGUAGGCCGCACGGUAAGUCAGAUGUGAAAGCCCGGAGCUCAACUCCGGAAUGGCAUCCGAUACUGCCGUGCUCGAGGACUGAAGAGGAGUCUGGAAUUCACAGUGGAGCAGUGAAAUGCGUAGAUAUUGUGAGGAACACUAGUGGCGAAGGCGAGACUCUGGACAGUUCCUGACGCUGAGGCACGAAGGCCAGGGGAGCAAACGGG
This 253-nucleotide ribosomal RNA is filed under the name uncultured bacterium. RNAcentral's name for it is "partial 16S ribosomal RNA". It matches the Rfam family "Bacterial small subunit ribosomal RNA", at positions 524 to 776 of the family's 1533-position model. The record is from RNAcentral.